UAGAAAGGAUGGAAAUUCUGUGCUACUAACUCCUACCUCCAUCAGCCAUGUCUUCAUGACCAUGAUGAACUGCACCCUCUACCGAGAUGAUCUUCUCCACCAGCUGGUUGUAGCUGCAGUUGCCAACAGCUCUUACAAUGUCAUCGAUCUGGAAAACACAUGAUGGUCCCACUAGUCCCGGAGAGAUUGGAAACAGUAACAAAGACAGGCUCUCUCAACAUAGCACAAGCUAGCAUCGAAUUUGCCAUAAGGACUGCGAUGGGACCAGUGCUUUGAAGCUCCAGCCGCCAUGGCUUCCCUGACUUAAUGGACUGUACCCUCAAACUGUGAGCGAAAAUAAACCCUACCUUAAGUUGCUUUUUUCAGGUAUUUUGUUACAGCAGAAAACUGGUUCUCAGGAAUGGAGCCUUUGAUAAACCUGAUCAUGUUUAUCCUACUGAGCUGGUUUGUGGAAGAAUGUGGAAAAGUUUGGAACCCUGGGCUAGAGAAGCCCUCAAAUGCUAUAAGCAGAGGUUAAUCAAAAUAGCCUUCCAAUUCAGUAGCAUGCAUGCAUACUUAUCAACACACUAAUCCAGAGGAUUGGAACCCAGAUGGCUUCAUCUGCAGCCUCAGAUCCCCAACAUAGAGCUGCCAGAUUUGGUGUUGGAAUCUCUCCUUCACUAUCCAACUCAGUUCUUCAUAACUGGUUAGCAUAAUUCAAGUUAUUCUUCUUCCAGGGGACAUUUUAACUAUGGGUGGAAUAUCAAUUUGAAAACAAGUGCUGAGAUGCAUCUCUCAAAACCCAGAUACUGCAAGCUUAAAUAUGAUACUAUAUUCUGAGGCCUCAGUACACCUCCUCUUCCCUUUCUGUUCUCCAAGACCUGAGAUUUAUCAUUCCUUAUUUUAGUUGUUAAAAGAGUUUUAGCUUCCCUAACAAACAUUCUAAUGUAUAGUUACCAGUAAAGGUGCCAAACCUUUGGAGUAGAGUCAAGGAGACAAGUAAAAAAAAA
Molecule: small RNA, 989 nt
Filed under: Rattus norvegicus (Norway rat)
Lineage: Eukaryota; Metazoa; Chordata; Mammalia; Rodentia; Muridae
Description: uncharacterized LOC102551907
Source: RNAcentral